This 591-nucleotide ribosomal RNA is filed under the name Triticum aestivum (bread wheat). RNAcentral describes it as "partial small subunit ribosomal RNA". Lineage: Eukaryota; Viridiplantae; Streptophyta; Magnoliopsida; Poales; Poaceae. The record is from RNAcentral.
AAAUGUGAAGGGGGUAUGGGCUUUCGUGAUCUCAGGCUAUUUAAUCAAGCUCUUCUGGCCAAACAAGCAUGGCGUUUAUUGGUUUUUCCGGACUCUUUGUGUGCUAAGGUGAUGAAAGCAAAAUAUUAUCCGCAUGGACAUCUUAUUGAUAUGGUCUUCCCGCAAUCGUCAUCGCUUCCGUGGCAAGGUAUUAUGCACGGCCUUGAAUUAUUGAAACAGGGUGUAAUCUAUAGAGUUGUUGAUGGGACCAGUAUAAACAUAUGGAGAGACAAUUGGAUUCCUAGGGAGUCUGGCCUGAAGAUUACUGCCAAGAAAAACAAAACAAGAAUCAAAUGGGUGUCCGAGUUAUUCAGGUCAGAUACUAGGAGGUGGGAGAAUCUGAUCAGGCACCUAUUUCACCCUCAUGAUGCAGAAGAAAUUUUAAAGUCGCACAUGCUGAAUUUGGGUGAGGGAGAUUUUAUUGCCUGGCAUCAUGAGAAAAGUGGCAUGUUUUCAGUUAAGAGUGUGUACAGACUUGCUCAGAACCUCAUGGACUCGAAGGUUAAUCUGGGAAAUUCUAGUGUAGCAGUAAAUGAGGAAAGGAGGAUCUAG